GACGUAGGAGGCGAGCGUUGUCCGGAUUCAUUGGGCGUAAAGAGCGCGCAGGCGGCUUGGUAAGUCGGAUGUGAAAUCCCGAGGCUCAACCUCGGGUCUGCAUCCGAUACUGCCCGGCUAGAGGUAGGUAGGGGAGAUCGGAAUUCCUGGUGUAGCGGUGAAAUGCGUAGAGAGUGUGGAGGAACACCGAUGGCGAAGGCAGCCCCCUGGGCUAACACUGACGCUCAUGCACGAAAGCGUGGGGAGCAAACAGG
RNAcentral lists this ribosomal RNA (254 nucleotides) under uncultured bacterium. RNAcentral's name for it is "partial 16S ribosomal RNA". It matches the Rfam family "Bacterial small subunit ribosomal RNA", at positions 524 to 776 of the family's 1533-position model. The record is from RNAcentral.